CCUACGGGAGGCUGCAGUCGAGAAUCAUUCACAAUGGGGGAAACCCUGAUGGUGCGACGCCGCGUGGGGGAAUGAAGGUCUUCGGAUUGUAAACCCCUGUCAUGUGGGAGCAAAUUAAAAAGAUAGUACCACAAGAGGAAGAGACGGCUAACUCUGUGCCAGCAGCCGCGGUAAUACAGAGGUCUCAAGCGUUGUUCGGAAUCACUGGGAGUAAAGCGUGCGUAGGCUGUUUCGUAAGUCGUGUGUGAAAGGCGCGGGCUCAACCCGCGGACGGCACAUGAUACUGCGAGACUAGAGUAAUGGAGGGGGAACCGGAAUUCUCGGUGUAGCAGUGAAAUGCGUAGAUAGCGAGAGGAACACUCGUGGCGAAGGCGGGUUCCUGGACAUUAACUGACGCUGAGGCACGAAGGCCAGGGGAGCGAGAGGGAUUAGAUACCCGGGUAGUC
Molecule: ribosomal RNA, 446 nt
Filed under: uncultured bacterium
Lineage: Bacteria
Description: partial 16S ribosomal RNA
Rfam family: Bacterial small subunit ribosomal RNA
Source: RNAcentral